Ribosomal RNA from Neogale vison (American mink), 137 nucleotides. The record is from Ensembl. Lineage: Eukaryota; Metazoa; Chordata; Mammalia; Carnivora; Mustelidae.
GUCUACGGCCAUACCACCCUGAACGCGCCCGAUCUCGUCUGAUCUUGGAAGCUAAGCAGGGUAGGGCCUGGUUAGUACUUGGAUGGGAAGACUUAAAAAAAAAAAGUUCUAUUUUAAAGAAUGUAGGGCACUAUACA